Molecule: long non-coding RNA, 653 nt
Organism: Vombatus ursinus (common wombat)
Lineage: Eukaryota; Metazoa; Chordata; Mammalia; Diprotodontia; Vombatidae
Exons: 4
Source: RefSeq, a predicted model, not a curated record
GAGGAGCAGUCGGAGAGCUGCGGCAGCCCGCCCCGCACGUCGGGCGCCAGUAAGAAAGAGUCUUACCCGCGUGGCCCGAGUGCUUCUGGCGACUUUCCAAGCAACUAACUGCAGGAGAAAUUUUUGGCACUGGAAAGUGAUAGCCCCGUCAUGAAUCAGAGCGAUCCGGGUAUCAGCACCAUGUUUGUAUCAUAAAAAGAAUUUGAAACACUGGACCCAGAACAUGGAGGAAGCCCUGAAUGUGUCAAGGAUGAAGCACCCUCCCACUCAGCUGACGUAAGUUGUUGUUUGCACCCCAAGCUGGGAUUCCUUGUAUGUCCUCGGGAGUCAUGAUAGGUGCCAGCAAGUCUGUGCCAGACUGGGAAAAUGCUUGUGCAGCUGAGGUCCUUUGCAGAUUUGAGGCCCCUUCUAUCUUCAUAGUCUAGUUAUUCCUAAGGGAAAAGAAUGAAGCUUUUGCCAUCGCCUUGCUUCUCCCCUUCAGGAGGAUUUUUUCCCCUUUUUCCCACCAUUACUACACCUUCCCUCCCAAUGCCACGCCUCUUCCUGUUUUCUCCUCCUCCUUUUGCUGUACUGUCAUAAAUCUGCAAACUUUUGUGAACUCUUUGGGUUCCACAUGCAUGUUUAUUUCUCUUGUAAUAAACCUUGUUUUCACA